Molecule: ribosomal RNA, 386 nt
Filed under: uncultured bacterium
Lineage: Bacteria
Description: bacterial SSU rRNA
Rfam family: Bacterial small subunit ribosomal RNA
Source: RNAcentral
GGACGAACGCUGGCGGCGUGCUUAACACAUGCAAGUCGAGCGGUAAGGCCCUUUCGGGGGUACACGAGCGGCGAACGGGUGAGUAACACGUGGGUGACCUGCCUUUAGCUCUGGGAUAAGCCUGGGAAAACCGGGUCUAAUACCGGAUAUGACUCCGCGGCGCAUGUUGUGGGGUGGAAAGCCUUGUGCGGCUGGAGAUGGGCCCGCGGCCUAUCCAGCUUGUUGGUGGGGUGAUGGCCUACCAAGGCGACGACGGGUAGCCGGCCUGAGAGGGCGACCGGCCACACUGGGACUGAGACACGGCCCAGACUCCUACGGGAGGCAGCAGUGGGAAUCUUGCGCAAUGGGACGAAAGCCUGACGCAGCGACGCCGCGUGAGGGAUGAC